RNAcentral lists this ribosomal RNA (449 nucleotides) under uncultured bacterium. Its description in RNAcentral is "partial 16S ribosomal RNA". It matches the Rfam family "Bacterial small subunit ribosomal RNA", at positions 29 to 523 of the family's 1533-position model. The record is from RNAcentral.
AACGAACGCUGGCGGCAUGCCUAAUACAUGCAAGUCGAACGAGAUCUUCGGAUCUAGUGGCGCACGGGUGCGUAACGCGUGGGAAUCUGCCCUUGGGUUCGGAAUAACGUCGGGAAACUGACGCUAAUACCGGAUGAUGACGUAAGUCCAAAGAUUUAUCGCCCAAGGAUGAGCCCGCGUAGGAUUAGCUAGUUGGUGAGGUAAAGGCUCACCAAGGCGACGAUCCUUAGCUGGUCUGAGAGGAUGAUCAGCCACACUGGGACUGAGACACGGCCAAGACACCUACGGGAGGCAGCAGUAGCGAAUAUUGGACAAUGGGCGCAAACCUGAUCCAGCAAUGACGCGUGAGUGAUGAAGGCCUUAGGGUUGUAAAGCUCUUUUACCCGGGAUGAUAAUGACAAUACCGGGAGAAUAAGCCCCGGCUAACUCCGUGCCAGCCGCCGCCGUAA